GCUGUGGGACUUCCAGGAGUCCGAGUCCCAUGCUCUGCCUCUGAGGCUGGUGGCUGGGGUAAAGCUGGGCAGGGCUGAGCCAGGCAGGGCUGUACUCAGGCUCCCCAAUGGUAGGUACAAGCAACGGCCAUAACAUGGAUCAGAAGGCAGUGCUCAGGCCACUGGGGCAAUGCUUCAAGGAGGAGCAUAACAACUUAUUUUGUGCCAAAGAGUCAGCAUGGGAAAAGAGAAGCAGUUUGUGUUCCACAACCUAGCAGAUGGUAGUGACACCUGCCUCACUCCCACACCCUUGACCCAGCAAGGCUCCCUCCCAUAACCCACUCCUGGCAGCAAGCUGAAACAGUAAGUCAAGACACAAGCAAUCUGUCUUCAGAUUACAAAACUGUCCUAUGCCACAAAACUCCCUGCCAGGGACAAAAACUUGGACUCCCAGGCCACACCCCUCCGACUCCAGUCCUGCAUCCUGCAGUGGGACUGCCCAACGCUUAUGCCCGUGUUUCAAACCCAUGCUACACUCAUCUCUCAGAUCUGGCCAUGGGGCUCUUCCUCCUCUUAAGACUAGAUUGCAAAUCUCAUUCUUGAGAUUCUCUAAACCGAUGACUAAUGCUUGUUCUGGAUGACAGAUUUCCGCACAGCCCCCUAUGAGUUAAGAUCAGGAAUGAUCUCCUAUUAGCAUCAAGGUCUGGGAGCAUGUGCAAAGUACUUCCUGCUGCCUCUUCUCACAGUCUCUUCACUGAUCCCAGAAUUGUAUCAGUUGGAAGAGUCAAGGAGCUCCUCUGUGGCCUGGAUUGCCUGACUCCCAAGUGGAAAUGUAUACUGUGAAGAUACUCUUCCCCUCUCAGGAACUUGGAACUCACAGUUUUCCGUCAGACCCACAGUGUGGUCUGCUGCCCACCAUAUUUUUCAAAGUAUCCAAAGUUUGUUUCAUUUUUAUGUUGAGCUUCCUAUUCUUUCCUUGAUCACAAUGUGAAUCUCUGCACACUAUUUUGCUAUUUCCAAGUGAAUGAGGUUCGCUAACAAAGCCUCUAUGCCUCCAUCUUGGAGAAAAAAAAGCUAAGUAUCGAUAUAUUUUGUUUUCAUUUUUAUUUACUUCAAAAUUUUAAAUUUUUACUGAGACUUCUAUUUUGACCUCUCACUUAUUUAGAAAUGUGUCAAUUUUCAGAUAUUUGGAGCUAUCUCAGUUAUCUACAUGUUACUGACUUCUAUUUGAACUUCAUUGUAGUAUGAGAACAUACUUUGUAUUAAUUCUAUUAUUUUAUAUUUUUAAGAUGUCUUUUAUGGCCCAAAUGUGGUCAACCUUGAAGAACGUUCCAUGUGAUCAUGAAAAAAAUAUAUAUAUAUUCUGCCAUUGUGGAUGUACUUUGCUAAACAUGUCAACUAGAUAAGUUAGUGAUAGAGAUGUUCAGUUUAAAUAUAUUUUCAUUUUCUGCUUGUUGCAUCUGUCAAUUACUAAUGGGUAAGUGCUGAAAUCUACAGGUAUAAUAGUGCCUCUGUUAGCCUAUUUCUCCUUCAGUUUUAUCAAUAUUACUGCAUGUAUUUUAAUGUUCUCUUGUAUGAGGCAUACACAUUUAGGAUUGUUAUGUCUUUUUGGAAAAUUAACCCUUUUAUCAUUAGAUAAAGCUCUGUAGCCCUAAUAAUCUCUAUCUUUCCUGAUGUCUGCUUUGUCUGAAAUUAAUGUAGCUCCUUUGCUUUCUUUUGAUUAGCACUUUGUGUGUUUAUCUUUUUACUUUUAACCCAGAUGUAUCUUUAUAUAUUUAAAAUGGGUUUCUUGUAAGUGACAUAUAGCUAGGUUUGGUUUUGUUAUCCUCUUCAACAAUUUCUAUCUUUAACUGGUAUAUUUAGAACAUUAACAUCUAAAGAGAUUAUUGAGUGAUAUAGUUGGAUAACUAUCUACUAUGUUUAUAACUGUAUUCUAUUUCUUGUAGUUUUUUCCUAGUUUAUUUUUUCCUUCCAAUUUUUCUGAAUUCUGUGAUUUUAACUGACCAUGUAUAAUAUUUAAUUUAUAUCAUAUAUUAGUGUAUUAAUUGUACUUCUUUUUUUAAAAAAAAAAAUGAUCACUGUAGAAUUUACCAAAUAAAAUGUAAGUUAAUCUGUCUUUACCUCAAACAA
Molecule: long non-coding RNA, 2109 nt
Filed under: Homo sapiens (human)
Lineage: Eukaryota; Metazoa; Chordata; Mammalia; Primates; Hominidae
Description: novel transcript
Source: RNAcentral